Long non-coding RNA from Marmota monax (woodchuck), 9907 nucleotides. RefSeq lists it as uncharacterized. The record is from RefSeq and is a predicted model, not a curated record. The transcript has 2 exons. NCBI's taxonomy places the organism in Eukaryota, Metazoa, Chordata, Mammalia, Rodentia, Sciuridae.
ACCUGUUCGAGCCAGGUGAUAGGGUACAGAUCCAUCAGCAAGGUCAAAAGUAGUGGAUGAGUCUGGAGGAGGAGAAGAUUGGGGAUUGGUGGUUGUAGGGGUUAGUUUGCAAGCGAAAAAAUCUGUAGAGGUUUGCAAGAGGUGCAGAGAGCAGGAUUGAAUCAGAGCAAGAAGAAAGCUUGGAAAUAGUGAUCUCUACCCAUUUUUUUUGAAAUGCUCACGGUAAUUGUAGAGAUCCCUUAGAAUGGAGGGAUCCAGGGACCCAAAAGAGGGCCAACUUCUUUGGUUGUCUAAGGGAUAAGUGGGCCAGGCCUGAAUGAUAUAUUUGAUCAAUUUUUGGGGUUUGAUGUCUGGUGUCAAGGAGAGGGUUUGAGGUUAUCCAGGAGGCAUUGUAGGGAAGAGUCAACAGGCAGAGAGGAUCCAUUACCCAUGUGGCAAACGCAGUAUAAGGAGGUGGGAAGAGGAUGCAAAUACAGUAUAGGGUAGAAGGAAGGAGACACAAACAUAAGGGGAGAGGGAAGGAGAUGCAAAGAUAGUAUAAGAGAGAAGGAGGAAACUGAUUUAUUGGCAAAAGGGGCAUCCCCGCUAGAGCCAAAAAUCAGGAGUGCCUAGUGGCAGGUUCGAGCUGCAGAGAUUGGUCAUCAAUGAAUCCUUACAGUCAAGGAGGCUUUCAUCCUGGCUGGAGCUGUGCCAUGGGACACCUUGGCCAAGGCUUUUCAGGACCUCUCCUGGAGAGGUGGAGACUCCCAGGGCCCAAAAGACGGGAGAGAGAGAGAGGCAGGAGAAGAGACAGAAAGGGGAGGGUAAGCCUCCAUCUAAUGGCUGUGUCUUAAAGGUGCGAGGACUAGGACUUUAUGAGAGCCACCAAAACCGUGAAGGUCUGGGUGGGGUGUGAUGUACAGUUGUCUGUUAUGUGUUCUGGGAGGUUACGCAGUCCUUUGAGGGAGACCUACAAAGCCUAUGCUGGUAAACUACCAGCUGGGAAGGGGAUGGGAAAUAAUUUUGAACACGAGUCAAAUCUGCCUGAGGAAGGAGUCCCUGAGGGCCAUCAUGGCCUUAAAGGUUGUGGUGGGGUGUUUUCCUCCCCACAGGUGGGUGAAGAGUUUUGCCGGACAAUCAAUGGUCAGAUCCUCCUGAUACCACAAUUGGGUUUAAGACUCCAGGAAGGGGAAACUCACCAAUCAAAGGCCUGUGUUGGAUGGAGUUCUGCUGGUCGAGAAAAUGGGUUCAGGCCAUCCAGUGAGUGGCAUUUCUGAAGGAAGAGGGACCCAAAAGUGGGUUUUAACCCUCUUCCUGGUUUUUGGCACCAAUGAAAGGAAAGUGACCACAACACUUGGAGGGACCAAGAGAUAUUUAUUUCAGCAGUGCAACAGAGGAGAAAAGAGAGAAAGAUAAGUGGGGGGGGGGGCAAGGCAGGGGAAAGCUUUUAUAGACCUUCUGCUGUGCUGCCUAAAUCUAACAGGGUCUCUGGGUUUGCAAGCAUUCAGCCUUGAGUGGGGGCUUGAAGCAAACAGGUGAUAAAGAACCAGACAGAGGGUUUGAGUGGUCAGGUCAGCCUACAGCUAACUUUGUUUGGCAUACCCUGCAGACAACUUAUUCAGCCUGUCCUGCACCUAACAUUUAGGAGAACAACACCUGAGUGCUGCAUAUAGCUAUUGAAAUGGAUUUCAAUGGGAUCUUCCUCUCUGGGUUCUACCACAUUAUUUGUUUUUAUUGUAUUGGGGAUGGAACCCUGGGGAGCUUAACCACUGAGCCCCAUCCCCAGACCUUUUUUGUAUUUGGUUUAGAGUAGGGCCUCACCGAAUUGCUUAUGACCUUGCUAAGUUGCUGAUGCUAGCUUUGAACUUGGAAUUUCUGCCUCAGCCUCCAUGUGACAAGACACCAGGCUCAAGUACUUUCUUCUUCAUACAUAAGAUACAUUAGUUUGUGCAUCCACGUAUUCCUGUCAUCUUUGUCCUCUUUCCAGAAUCAACAGCAAUCUGGUGGAGCGAGCUUUUCCUAAAUGUGAUGAUUUUCCUUAACCUCCUAGGGUCCCUUGACUGUCCUCCGGUUCAUAAGGGUUUUCUCCUGGUGGACUGAGUCUCAGCAUACCUGUGGGCUUCUGCAUACCAUUACAAGAUCCCAUUAUGGUAAUGAUCUGGUUUCCUGAGUGUGGUCAUGAUGUGCUGAUUCUCUGUCACGACCCCGAGCCGGAAUCUCGAGUUUGAUAGUGCUUGUCAUUCUUCUUGUGCUGAGGAGUCCUCAGGGAUAUCCAUGAGAGGAGAAAAGAUGAGUGGCCAAGUAAUUCACUAAUUACCCCACAGUGCAGAGAACCUCAAACACCUUGAUGAGAACUGUGGGACUGCCCCAAUUCUGGGCUCUGGGGACACAGAUCAUUGUCCCUACCCUCAUGGAAUUCAGAUGACACCCUUGGAGAGGCAAUGGCAGGCACUAGAGACCAAACGCAGCAAGGGGGCUGCCAUGGCCCUGGAGGCUCCCAAAGCAAGCUGUGGAAUGAGUUGUUUCCACUUUGGGUUUUAUAUUGAGCAAGAUAAAAAUCACUGGAAAAUUUCAUGUUCUAGGGUGACAUCUUCUGUCUUCUUUUUUCCAUGGUAUUGAAGAUUAGUUGAUUCUGGCCACUUGUUGACCAAAGUCCUAAUUGCUGAUCUACUUUUUAAAUUUUUUCAUUUGCUUUCAUUAGUUAUAUAUGACAGUAGAAUGCAUUGAUGCGCUUUUGAAAGAUCAUAUAUAAAUUGAUUUUUGUUGUUGUUUUUAAAAUCCCCUUGGCCUGCUGGUUCAGUAGUAAAUUAGUGAGGCCUGGGGAGUGCCAGGAGGAGGUUCCCACACCAUGCUGGAGGCGGGAUGGAGCCAGGCCUACCUUGGGCUCAAGCUCUGUCCAGGAGCCGGUCCCCAGGGAUGGCCCAGUUUCUAUCUGCCACCACCUGACGCCCCAUAGAUCCUUUGGCUUGGCCAAGGACUGCCUCCACUCCUCAGCAAAGAUCCUUGGGAGCUCAGGAUCAGCCCAGAUCUCCCAGGAUGACAUGAGGUGAUAGCCUGGGCAAAUGGUAGUCACAGGUCCAUCCUACCUCGGGCUGACCCCUGCCAGAGCUCAGACUCAGCCCAGGAAGGACUCAUCCCACUGUCAGAUGCCCGCCAGAGCUCAGGCUCUGCCCCACACUGACUCCGCCUACUGAAAGACACCUGCCAGAAUUCAACCCCAGCCCAGGCCAGCCUCGCUGACAGGCAUGGGAGCCUGGUCCAAGGUAGGCCUGGCUCCAUCCCGCCACCAGUCAACCCCCAGCAGAGUUCAAGCCACAUCCAAGACCGACUCUACCCACAGGCGAACACCUUCCAGAGCUCAGGCUCCUGCCUGAUCAGCCAAGGCCAGCUGCGCGCGAUCCUGAGCAAGGGUAAGCCAAGUUCCAUACCGCUGAUCCCUGCGAAGGUCAGGCCCAGGCCUCAUCUACCCAGCUGAACUGCAGGCAAGCCAGAGCAGAGAGUAGUCACAGGGCCAUCCCGCUGCAGGCUGACCCCUGCUGGAGCGCAGCCUCAUCGCAGGAAUGACUCCGCCUACUGUCAGAUACCCACCAGAGGUCAGACUCCGCCCCGCACUGACUCCACCUACUGGAAGACACCUGCCCAGCCCAAGUCAGCCUUGGUGACAGGUGUGGGAGCCUGGCUUAGUGGCCGACCCCCACCAGAGCUCAGGACAGACCCAGGACCACCUCUGCCCACAGGGAACACCUUUGGGAGUCCAGGCUUAUGCCUGAUCAGCCAAGGCCAGCUGUGCGGGAGCCUCGGCAAGGGUAAGCCAAGUUCCAUCCCGCCACCUGUAGACCCCUGCGGAAGUCAAGCCCAGGCCUCAUCUGCCCAGCUGAACUGCACAUGAGCCUGUUCUCAGGUUAAGCCUGUUGCCAUCCCACCACUGGCUGAAUGCCACCAGAGCUCAGGCUCUGCCCUGAUCAGCCUAUUUCACCUUCGUGGGAGUCCUUACCUAGGAUAGCCUUGGUCCUUCCAGCCACUGGCUGACCGAGACUACACCCAAGCACAGGAUAGCCACAGGUCCAUCCAACUACUGUGGGCCAGGCUCCUGCGCCUGUCAGGAAGGCUGAUCUGACUGAGGCUGAACUUCAGUGACUGUCUGUCAGUGGUCAGAGACAGUCAUGGGCCGAGCCUGAGCUCUGGUGCCAGUCUCAUGGUGACUGGAUGCACUUGGGCUACCCUGGGCUCGGACUUCAUCUCUUGCCAGGUCAUAGAGUUGGAUCUGGGCAGAGCUCGAGCUCUGGCGAGGUUCUGCAUGUGGCAGGAUGACACUGGGGGCCCACCUUGCCUGGCCUCCCAAGCAGUUCAGCAAGGACAAUCUUGGCUGAGUUUGAGCUCUGCCUGUUGAUCCAAGGCGGUCCUGUGUUUGGCCUGAGCUCUGCUUGGGGCCUGCUUGUGGCAGUUGGUAUUAGGCCUACCUUGGGCCAGGCUCCUGUGCCUGUCAGUGAGGCUGGUAUGGGCUGGGGCUGAAGUUCUGCAACUGACAAUGGGUGGAGUCAGUCGUGGGCAGAGCCUGAAUUUGGUUGCCAGUUUCUUGAUAACUUGGAAGGACAUGGGCUACCCUGGACUCUGGCUUCAUCCUGCCAGGUCGUUGAGUUGGAUGUGGGCAGAGCUAGAGCUCUGGUGGGGUUCUUCAGGUGGUGGGAUGGAACAGGGCCUCCCCUUGCCUGGGUAGUGAGGCCAAUCUGUGCCUUGUAUAAACUCUGGCAGGGUUGUGCCUGUGGGCGGAGUCAGUGCUGGGCCAAGCCUGAGCUCAGGUGGUGGUCUGGUGGUGGCCAUAUGUUCCCAGGGCUACCCUCUUCCCGGGUUUCUGUGCACAUCUGCAAGGCUUAUCUGGUGGGACCUGAGUUACAGCAGGGGUCUGCUGGUGGUGGGAAGGCCUGGGACCUACUCUGGGCUUCAGCUACCACUCAGGUCGUCGAGGCUGAAAUGGGCCAGGAUUGGCCACCAUUGAGUGUCUGUUGGUGGCAGUCUGUCCUGGUCCAAACCUGAGGUCUGGAGGGAGCUGCUGGAUGGAGGAGGCAGGCCUGGGAAGAACCUGAGCUCUGGCACCAGUCUCAUGAUGAGUGGAUGGACUCGGCCUACCCUGGGCCCCAUCUCCUGCACAGGUCCUUGCAGUGGCUCUGGACUGGAUCUGAGCUCCUGAAGUGGUCUGCCGGUGGGCAGAGGCAGUCCUGGCCAGAGUCUCAGCUCUCGGGAGGGUCAGCCAGUGGUUCUGGGCCGGACCUGAGCUCGGUGCAGGUCUCCCAGUUGAGGGAAGGAUGCAGUCUUACCCUGUGUGUGGCCUCCUGCGCAGGUUGGUGGGGGCAGAUCUGGACCGUAUAUGAGCUCUGGCAGGCGUCUGCAGGUGAGUGAAGUGGUCCUGGUCUGGGACUGAGCAUCCUGCUGGUAGUGGGAAGAAACCGGGCUACUCUGGGCCCCAGCUCCAGUGCAUCUGGGAAGGGCCUGAGCUGGGGCGGGUGUCUCUGGACCUUUAUUUUAUUCAUUUGUUCAUAGGUAGUACUGAGGAUCAAAGCCAGUGCCUUACAUUUGCGAGACAAGAGCUCUAUCACUGAGUCACAACUCCAGCCCUAUUUGCUUCUUCUUGACCUUUAAUCAUGCUAUUUUUUGGUUCUAUAUCAUUUGUUCAGGCAUGCAUCUGGAUUUUAACAAGUAGCAAUUUUGUGAUAUCACCAGCAAUGCUUCAAAAGCUGGCUUCAAAUGAGACCUUGAUCCUCAGCCCGAUUACAUCCCACACAUCCGUAUCACCUCUGGCAUAGGUGCAGAAGAGAGAUGACUAAGACAUGGUCCAUGACUCUCAACUUUUGGGAAAAAUUGUUUUGAAGAGGUAAAGGGUAAGGCGACACUUGACAGAGAUCUGCAGAACGCAGAGCCAGGGAUGGAAGCCAAGGCUUUGGGAAUGCGAGGCAAGCACUUUGCGGUUUUGCCAUUGAGCUGCUUCCCAGCCCAUUCAUUCAUUGUCAGCGUGGGAAUUUGGGGCUGCUUCUAUGAAUGAAUCUACUAUGAAUAUUAAAAAGAGACUGACCAAUGGCGUUAGUAUGUGUCCAACCCAAUUAGCAUAACUUUGGGCCAAUAGCAUUGGUCCUUUUUUCAAGUCCUAAUUAGCAUAAGUUUGGACCAAUAGCAUUGGACCAAGCGCUAUAUAAACCCCUUGCAGGUUGUUCAGACGUAGAGAAGCAGCGGAGGCCAUCGAGGUUGGUGUCCUGGAUUUCGCCGGACUUUCGCCGGACUUUCGCCGGACUUUCGCCGGACUUUCGCCGGACUUUUUGCAGGACUUUUCGCUGGACUUUCGCCGGACCUUCGCCGGACCUUCGCCGGACUUUCGCCGGAGUUCCAUGGAAGUUUCACCCUGGUUUGGUUCCCAGAGGUGAUUCUUCGACUUCCAAGAGACUGCUGAAAGAAAGAAGACAUGGUUGAGGAUCUGCUGGGGUCUGCUGCAGCGCUGGAUGGAAUGGCCCGCCAUAAGGAGGUAGGUAGGACUCCUCUCUGCUGCGGAGGCCUCCCCACCCCGCACGCAGACCCCCUACCUGCCAGCUAGAGCCAUGGAGUCUCAUCUUCAAACUCUGGUUUCGAGGUAUUGUUAUUCGUUAGGUAAUUAGCGUCUAAAUAUUGAAAUUUGUUAAUUUUAAUUUCUACUAGUGAAAAUUAUGAGACUCAUAAAUAAUAGAAAAAUAUUUCCCACAGUUCUGGAGGUCAUAAGCGGGAAAAGUCUGUCCCAAUAGUUAUGUCAUCAUUUCACAGAAUAAUGGUGGAGACUAACUUACUCUUAAAAGCCUUUUUUCUUUCCAUUCAUUUGAAGUUGAUUUCAGUGCUAUCAAAAUGUUUAAGGGAACCUAGGAAAUGUUUCAUUUUGUUAAUUUUCAUUUAUUGGUUGUUUUUAUUAUAGAAUCCAUUUUUAAAAAAUUAUUUAAGUUGUUAAUGGUCCAUUUAUUUUAUUUUAUUUUUUAAUUCAGUACUGAGAAUUAAACCCAGUGCCUCACACAUGCCUAGGCAAGUGCCCUACCACUGAGCCACAAUCCUGGCCCAUAAAAUUCAAUAUUAUAUAAUCAAUAUUUGUAUAAGUAAGAUACCUUAUAUAUUUAGAAUUAUAUUCUUAGGAUGUACAUGGUGGUGGGAUUCACAGUGUUGUUUCCACGUAUACACAUGGGAAAGCUGCAUUAGAGUCUUUCCACUGUCUUUCCUUUGCUUAUGCCCCUCCUUUCCCUCCAUUCCCCAUUGUCUAAUCUACUGCACUUCUGUUCCCAUCACCCCUCCUAUUGUGGGUUAGCUCCCACAUAUCAGAGAAAACAUUUGUCCUUUGUUUUUUGAAGACUGGUUUAGCUUCAGUUACCAUGAGUGUCUCCAGGUGGCAGAUAUUGUAGUCAUAUUUUUUUCUGCAAAUUGGUAUGUUUUCUUUAAUCUUCUUUUUAAAAAAAAUGUUCUAAUUCUACAGGACAAUAGGAUGCACUUUGACAUAGCGUACAUAAAUGUAGUAUGAUUUCUCAUGCUUCUGGUUGUACAGGAUGUAGCAUCACACUAGUCACGUAUUUGCAUAUGUACUUUGGAAUAAAUGUCUGAUUCAUUCUACUAUCCACUCUACCCAGUGUACCCCUUUCCCUCUCUUCACUUCUCUGUGCAGUCUAAAACAACUCUAUUCUUCCCUACCCCCCCCCCCCUUACUGUGAUUAUCAUAAGCAUAUCAGGGAAAAUUUUCUGGGAUUGGCUUAUCACUUAGCAUGAUAAGCUCCAUCCAUUUACCAGCAAAUGUCAUAAUUUAAUUCUUCUUUAAGGCUGAGUUUAUUCCAUCCUAUAUAUGUGUGUAAAAUUGUUUAUGUGUGUGUAUGUGUGUUUGCAUUGUGUGUGUGUGUGUGUGUGUGUGUGUAUAUAUAUAUAUGUAUAUAUUACAUAUAAUAUAUAUAUAUUAUAUAUAUUAUAUAUAUGUAUAUAUACACACACACACACACAUACACACAUAUGUAUAUCUAUACUCAUACACACCACAUUUUCUUUAUUCAUUUAUCUGUUGAAAGACACCUAGGUUAGUUCCAUAGUUUAUCUAUUAUGAAUUGAGCUGCUGUAAACAUAAUGUGACUGUGUCAUUGUAAUAUGUUGGUUUUAAGUCGUUUGGUUAUAAAAUGAGGAAAGGGAGAGCUGUGUCAGAUGUUGGUUCCAGUCCACGUUUUCUGAGGAAUUUCCAUACUGCUUUCCAUAAUGGUUGCCUCAAUUUGCAGUCACACAAGCAAUGUGUGCGUGCACCCUUUUCCCCACAUCCUCCCUAACAUUUAUUGUUACUUGAUGAUUGUAUUCUUGAUAACCAUGUUUGUCGACUGGGGUGGGAUAAAAUCUUGGAGAAGUUUUGAUUUGCUUUCUACUAAUAGCUAAAUAUUGAACAUUUUUCAUGUAUUUGUUGCUUCUUCUGUGAAGUGUCUGUUAGUUCCUUAGCCCAUUUAUUGAUUUGGUUAUUUGUUUUUUUUGGUGUCAUGUUUUUUGAGAUCUGCAUAUAUCCUGGAGAAUAAUGCUCUGAGGUGCAUGUGGUGAAGAUUUUCUCCUAUUCUGUAGGCUCUCUUUUCACAUUAUUGAUUGUUUCCUUUGCUGAGAAGAAGCUUUUUAAUUUGAAUCUAUCCUGUUUAUUGAUUCUUGAAAUUCUUGGAAUGUAGGAGUCACCUUAAGGAAGUCAGAUCUUAGGAUGACAUAGUGAAGAUUUAGGCCUACUUUUUCUUCUAUUUGGCUCAGGAUCUCUGUUCUAGUGCCUAAGUUUUGAUCUAUAUUCAAUUGAGUUUUGUGCAGAGUGAGAGAGAGGGCUUUACUUUUUAUUUUAUGUGGCUUUCCAAUUUUUCCUGCACCAUUUACCAUUUGUUGAACAGGCUUUUUUUUUUUUUUUUCUUAAAUGUAUGUUUUUGGCGCCUUGGUCUAGUUUGAGAUAACUGUGUUUUUGUGAGUUUUCUCUGUCUUCUAUUCUGUACCAUUCAUUGGUCUCUGUGUUAUUUUGAUGACAAUACAAUGCUGUUUUUGUUACGAUGUCUCUGUAGUACAGUUUAAGCUAUAGUAUUAUGAUAUGUCUUCUCUCUUCUUGCUUAGUAUUGCUUUGGCUAUUCUGCAUCUCUUAUUUUUCCACAUGAAGUUCAUGGUUGCUUUUUCUAGUUCUGUGAAGAAUUGUUUUAGGGAUUUUGGAAUUGAAUUAAAAUUUAUGAUCAAGCACAAAUUAGUUAAAACUAUGAAAAAGAAUCCCAGCUCACCAUAGACCUGACAGUUGUCUGGUCACUGGUGUCGGUUGAUCCAGCCACUGUCUCCUGCACACUUGAUGGUUGCUAAGCUGAGGUUACUUGUUGCAUUUUGGUGUUAAGGGUGUCUUAGAGUUGAGUCUACUCUGCAUGUUGGUACUGAGGUCGUGGUUCAGCCAAGCUUUGCCAAUGCACAGCCUGGGAUACUUUUCUGGGUUUUUUAAACUUUUAAUUGUGUCUGAAAAUUUCUUUGGGUCCUUUAAUCACUUUGCUUGAUCAACGUUUGUGUGCUAGGCACUAUACUAGGUGUGGAGUACAGAGUGAAUAGGCCAAGUCCUUGCUUCCAUGGAACUUAAUGAAGUUAGUAGGAUAAUCAUAGCAUCUACCUCAAGGUUAUGAGUUAUGUAGGCAUUCUGAGGUCUUAAAUAAUUUUCCAUCCAAGUUCUACCUUUCCUCAAUUUUUAAUCAGAACUUGACUUUUGACAAAAAGUUAAAAAUCUCUCUUAAGAUUCAUAAGAUACAUAAUUUAUAUCUUUUAGGCUUCAAAUCUAAUAUCAUUCAUUUUCCAAAAGAGCAAUAUUGGGUCAAAAUUGUAUUUAACCUUAAAGUAGACUUGCAACAUGGUAUAUAAAAACCUAGAAAUAAAAAAUGAUAUUGAAUAAAAUUUUAAAAUGUAAGUGGUCAGC